AGUGAACGCUGGCGGUAGGCCUAACACAUGCAAGUCGAACGGCAGCACAGUAAGAGCUUGCUCUUACGGGUGGCGAGUGGCGGACGGGUGAGGAAUACAUCGGAAUCUACUUUUUCGUGGGGGAUAACGUAGGGAAACUUACGCUAAUACCGCAUACGACCUACGGGUGAAAGCAGGGGAUCUUCGGACCUUGCGCGAUUGAAUGAGCCGAUGUCGGAUUAGCUAGUUGGCAGGGUAACGGCCCACCAAGGCGACGAUCCGUAGCUGGCCUGAGAGGAUGAUCGGCCACACUGGAACUGAGACACGGUCCAGACUCCUACGGGAGGCAGCAGUGGGGAAUCUUGCACAAUGGGCGAAAGCCUGACCGAGCAACACCGCGUGGGUGAAGAAGGCCUUCGGAUCGUAAAGCCCUUUUAUUGGGAAAGAAAAAAUGCGGAUGAAACCACGCAUGUCUUGACGGUACCUAAUCAGAAAGCCACGGCUAACUUCGUG
This 492-nucleotide ribosomal RNA is filed under the name uncultured bacterium. Its description in RNAcentral is "partial 16S ribosomal RNA". It matches the Rfam family "Bacterial small subunit ribosomal RNA", at positions 29 to 507 of the family's 1533-position model. The record is from RNAcentral.